AUUGAACGCUGGCGGCAUGCUUUACACAUGCAAGUCGAACGGCAGCGCGGGCUUCGGCCUGGCGGCGAGUGGCGAACGGGUGAGUAAUACAUCGGAACGUGCCCAGCAGAUGGGGAUAGCUCGGCGAAAGCCGGAUUAAUACCGCAUACGACCUGAGGGUGAAAGCGGGGGAUCUUCGGACCUCGCGCUAUUGGAGCGGCCGAUGGCAGAUUAGCUAGUUGGUGGGGUAAAGGCCUACCAAGGCGACGAUCUGUAGCUGGUCUGAGAGGACGACCAGCCACACUGGGACUGAGACACGGCCCAGACUCCUACGGGAGGCAGCAGUGGGGAAUUUUGGACAAUGGGCGAAAGCCUGAUCCAGCAAUGCCGCGUGUGUGAUGAAGGCCUUCGGGUUGUAAAGCACUUUUGGCGGGAACGAAAAGGACUGUGCCAAUACCACGGUUCGAUGACGGUACCCGCAGAAUAAGCACCGGCUAACUACGUG
Molecule: ribosomal RNA, 484 nt
Filed under: uncultured bacterium
Lineage: Bacteria
Description: partial 16S ribosomal RNA
Rfam family: Bacterial small subunit ribosomal RNA
Source: RNAcentral